This is a long non-coding RNA of Xiphophorus couchianus (Monterrey platyfish), 2637 nucleotides long. RefSeq lists it as uncharacterized. The record is from RefSeq and is a predicted model, not a curated record. The transcript has 3 exons. NCBI's taxonomy places the organism in Eukaryota, Metazoa, Chordata, Actinopteri, Cyprinodontiformes, Poeciliidae.
UGCCCAUCUCCAGCUACGUACCGGGCGAGAGGCGGGGUCACACCCUGGAGAGGUCGCCAGGCCAUCGCAGGGCAACACAGAGAUAAACCCCUUUCUACUUUUUUUGAUGAAUUAAUUUAUUUAGGUUUAAUAUGGUGAGUCAAAGUCCCUGUUAUAGAUCCUGAAAUCACAGAGGUUUGUCAAAAAAUGUAACCCGCCAGCUGUUGUUUAGCAUAAAUGCCAUACAGGGUCACACACUAAUCACAAUCUGAUUGGAAAGUCCAAAGCAAAAGAAAGUGUUUAUGGUUGAACUCCCACUGAAUGUAGACAUAUUUAAAGGGGCAGUAUUGUGUAUUUUCCAGGUACAUAUUGCCAUUUUAUAGCACAGUCAAGUAAUUAUGUUACUUUCCGUUGUUAGAAAAUUGCUGCAUAAGAGAAAUUUGACUUUGCAAACUGACGCCUUGAAUCUUUUUAAGAAGCUCCUAGUCUUUUUGACACUCCAUCUUCAGAACAUCAACCCAACAAUGUCUCCCCAUUUUGCCGUUUACAACCGUUCCUUCCGGCGUUGGACUGAGAAGUAUUCGUAUAAUGAGAUGCGCAGUUCCAACAGGUGUUUGCUAAUUGCUGCUGCUGGUCUUAAGGAUCUGGGUGGGGGAGUCAUGGAGGAGGGGCACUCUAUGUGAUGGAAGCUCGACUGCCGACUUCCUCUUCAAAGAGUUAGCAAUGUUGAGUUUUAAAUCGUUAAAUGUUUUUUGCUUGGUUUCUUCACCGAAAUAAUAUGUAAGCAUAACCAUACGGGUGGACAGGGUGUGUUAUAUGAAACACACCAGGGUUUUUUUUCCCGAUUGAAAACACUGAUUUUGAGGAAAGCGAGAAGGCUGAAAGAUUCAAAAUAUAAGCAAAAGAGCAUCAGUUUUUAGUGAGCUUCACGUUUCUGUACCCAGUACAUAUUUAAAUCCUACACCUCAAAGCAAGUGCAGAAAUUACUAUUAAUACUUUAUUAAAGUUCACAAAAUUCCUACAAGCAAAUCUGUCUCAUGAUUAAUAUCACUAUUUGACUCUAUAGAAAAGAAAAACUGUUUAGUAUAAAUCCUGUAAAUACGUAUAGAGUAUGAUCAAGAGAGGAACUGACGAGCCCGGACCCAAGGGUCUGAUAUCUGAUUGACGUGCAAUAUUUACAGCACCAUCCACCUUUGUAGGCAUCCCUCAAAAGUUGCAUUUAUUUUACGGUUUCGUACGUAUCUUUGAAUGCAGUGGUACGAUCUCGCAAACCAUAGCUUUCAGAAAAUCCAUCCUGGACAUCAAGCAACUUGAGGACGAUAGAGAGUGAGGUAAAAUAAUAAUAAAAAAGAAAUCUGCGCCAAAACUGUGCUCCAGGACGACUGUAAACAUGCAGAAGCUGCAAAACUCAACAAGAACCAGGCACUUUGGUCUAGGAUGGAGCUUUUCAGCAACAAACACUUAGGAGGCGUUGGCCUGAAACAAAAGGUCAAUUCAUGGCUAACCACAAAUACCUACUGUCUAUCUAGCACAGCGGAGGAUUUGUGAUUCUCUGGUACUGCUCGUCUGCCUUUUAUGCUUUUUCACUAAAAAAGGUUUCAUUGUAUUGGGAUGUGCUAUUCCUCUUAAUAACUGUUCCUUUAACGCUCAAACAAAAAAAAAAGUUAUAUACCUCACGUAAUCUCAAUGACAGAAAGAAGGAAAAAGUUUCCCGAAGAGCUGAAAGAAAUUCAGAAGAAAAAUGAGGUCAGCAGCGCCACCCGGUGGUGAGUUACUGAAGGUGCAGCGAGCACACCACACCUUUAAUUACACAUUGUUCCUUGGAAAGAUAUGAAGAGCAUGUGUCCUUGCUGGCACCGACUGGAAAAACUGGACUGACGGAUCAGAAUGGAGCAGGCUCGACUGCUCCACUGCUCUCUCGUCACGUCCAAUACACAGGUUAUUAGCAGCACUGGGUGAUCAUUGAUUAUCCUUGAGCUCUUGUGUUGUAUGAUACGUUCUUGUCUGAUGAAUAUGAGAUAAAGACACUUUAUGAGAGGAGGAAGAAACCAGGUUUGCUGCUGCGUCAGCUGUAGUAAGUUUGCUUUUAAACAAACCAUGUGAUACGGAGAUGCUUCUUUGUCCAUAAAUAAAAUAUUGGAGCAUAAGUGUGGUCGUGGUUCAUAUUUUAAGACCUGAACAUCUCUGCAACACAUCCACCAAUUCUAACUGGAAAGUUUCAUAUUUGCUUCUGUAUCUGCAAUGUUGAACACAUGUAAUUUCUGAUUUGUCAAAGAAAGGCUUGUUCUUUGUUUGAGGUGUACAAACGAGCUCUUCAGCAUUCUUUUAUUUAAUGCUUUCAUUGGAAUAUGAACACGAGACAAAAUAAUCUUGAACUACAAACCAGGCAGAUAAUUAGCCGUGGGAUUUGUGAAAGAAACUCUAGCCAGUGAGAGGACCUUGGGCUUUGUUCGGCUGCAGAUCUUACACGCUUGAACCCAGCUCUGUAACAUACUGCAGUGAAACCUAUAAAGUUUAUAAUGUACCUUUCAAUACAUUUAAAAGGUAGGGGUUAAGUCUCAUAAACUUUGUCUUACAAAUCAUUCAUGCAGGUCACCGUAAAAGUCUAUGGAUAAAAACCCACAUCAUGCUUUGCAUAUUUCUACUUCUAAAACUCUU